Molecule: long non-coding RNA, 1478 nt
Filed under: Equus asinus (donkey)
Lineage: Eukaryota; Metazoa; Chordata; Mammalia; Perissodactyla; Equidae
Description: lncRNA (ENSEASG00005025748.1)
Source: RNAcentral
CAACUGCCUCUCAUCUAGAAACAGUCCAGCAAUGGUUCCAACACCAAACUGCCCAACAAUAGGAGGGGAGAAAGGCCAUGGUCAUCACCAUGUGUGGCCUAAAUUACAGAAGAAAUUCAGUGGAAAGGAAAUGCCUACGUAAUUCCUUUACUCUGCUUCUACAGGGAAGAAAACGACCUGAAUGUAUCUUACGAAGACACCAACAAGCGCAAGUUACCACAUUGGCAGCUAUUUUCAUUUUUGUUCCCCAAAUCAAAAUGAAACAAUUGGUAACAAGAAAUUCAAAGUGCAGCAAAGAGGAUAACAAGAAGGUUUUUUUCUGAUGCACCUUUGACCUUUCUAAAAGUUAAUUAUUUUCUCUCAUUCAUAUACUUUUUUGUCUUAAGUUUCUCCCAUGAUUUUAUUCAGGAAAAAAUGAAAGACCUUCCUUGAGGGAGGGAGAUAAAGACUAGCCAAAGAGACGACUGACACCUUCACCAGAGACUGGAUUCCAGUCCAAGAAUUGGCACUCGGCAACCACAAAGUACACUCAAAGUCUAACAUUGCCUCCUGGGUGCCCGGAGCUGUCUCUAAGUGUGGAGACGCCUGUUGAGGAACACCCCACGGCUGCUGAAGGACCAGUACAAGUUCCCCGGGCAGGGAAGUGAGGGUGGUGAGGAAGAAGGCAUUCCAGGUCUGAUGAAGGUCCAUUGCUCGAAGUCCACACCCUGAGUCUAUAAAGGAGAGGGUCCUGGAAAACCGGCUUCCCAAGCUAGCACUUGGUGGAGUGCUAGCCAGGUGGAGCCUCGGCGCCCUGGCAACGUCCCGUGUGUCUGCACAGGGAUCCACAGCACCAUCCUCGCCCCCUGAAACCCAGCUCGCGCUGUGUGGCUCUGGCUUCCGCUACUCCAGUAGCUUCACAGUAGAGAAUUAACAUCCUACCACUUUGCAUUUGCCCAAGGGGACCUUACCCAGCUUUUGACGGCUUCUGUAUUUUAGUAAAGUUUCCUUUGCCUCUUUUCUACUAUUCUCUCAAGGUUUGAGUAUUUAUGGUCUACAUGGUGUUCUAAUGACAUUCUCUUCUACAUCAUCCAAGUCACUCUCAAAACAUUAAACAUCACAGACCUAAGAUUAGCACAAUCCCAUAUGACCCUCAAGUGGGCCCUAAAUCACCCAGGCCUCUCAGCAACUUGACUUUCUACUCAGAAAGGAAUUUGUGAAGAAUGAUUCUUUGAUUAUUUUUGUUCGUUUCAUUAACUUUUGGCCAAGGCUGUUUUUAUUUUUCUGUUAUUAGUAACUCGGAUACAAUCCCUUUUUAACUCCUCAUUUAGUUUUAGUACAAAGCAGUUCAUUAACGCAAAACCAAAUCAAAUGUUUUGACUUCCACUCUUUUAUCUUAAUCAAUGUAACAAAAGUAAAAACAAAAAAUACAAAAUCAUGAACAAAACCUGUAUAGAAAUUCGUUAAAUAAAGAGGAAGGGCGAAGAGAGCUUCUUGAA